AACUCCGGGAACUGGAGCUAAUACCGUAUGUGCCCGCAAGGGGAAAGAUUUAUCGCCAUUGGAUGAACCCGCGUCGGAUUAGCUAGUUGGUGGGGUAAAGGCCCACCAAGGCGACGAUCCGUAGCUGGCCUGAGAGGAUGAUCAUCCACACUGGGACUGACACACUGCCCAUACUCCUACGGGAGGCAUCCUUGGGGAAUAUUGGACAAUGGGCGCAAGCCUGAUCCAGCCAUGCCGCGUGAGUGAUGAAGGCCUUAGGGUUGUAAAGCUCUUUCUCCGACGAACAUAAUGACGGUAGUCAGAGAAGAAGCCCCGGCUAAUUUCGUGCCAGCAGCCCGCGGUAAAUACGAA
RNAcentral lists this ribosomal RNA (351 nucleotides) under Ancylobacter sp. AJ 3-2. RNAcentral's name for it is "bacterial SSU rRNA". It matches the Rfam family "Bacterial small subunit ribosomal RNA", at positions 145 to 529 of the family's 1533-position model. Lineage: Bacteria; Pseudomonadati; Pseudomonadota; Alphaproteobacteria; Hyphomicrobiales; Xanthobacteraceae. The record is from RNAcentral.